This 30-nucleotide non-coding RNA is filed under the name Mus musculus (house mouse). The record is from RNAcentral. Lineage: Eukaryota; Metazoa; Chordata; Mammalia; Rodentia; Muridae.
UGGAAACACUAUAAAGAGCCUUAGCUGUCA